RNAcentral lists this ribosomal RNA (274 nucleotides) under uncultured bacterium. RNAcentral describes it as "partial 16S ribosomal RNA". It matches the Rfam family "Bacterial small subunit ribosomal RNA", at positions 523 to 796 of the family's 1533-position model. The record is from RNAcentral.
AUACGGAGGGUGCAAGCGUUAAUCGGAAUUACUGGGCGUAAAGGGCGCGUAGGCGGUCUAUCAAGUCAGUUGUGAAAUCCCACGGCUCAACCGUGGAGGUGCAUCUGAAACUGAUAGACUUGAGUAUGGGAGAGGAAAGUGGAAUUCCCGGUGUAGAGGUGAAAUUCGUAGAUAUCGGGAGGAAAACCAGUGGCGAAGGCGACUUUCUGGACCAAUACUGACGCUGAGGCGCGAAAGCGUGGGGAGCAAACAGGAUUAGAAACCCGUGUAGUCC